Long non-coding RNA from Photinus pyralis (common eastern firefly), 877 nucleotides. RefSeq lists it as uncharacterized. The record is from RefSeq and is a predicted model, not a curated record. NCBI's taxonomy places the organism in Eukaryota, Metazoa, Arthropoda, Insecta, Coleoptera, Lampyridae. The transcript has 2 exons.
AUUUAUAUCUCUAUAACUUUUAUUUGAAGUAUUUUUGCAUAAAAUAAUUAGGAAACGUUUGCGCAAAGAAACAGUAAUUUCCCAUGUUAUGUUAAACGCCUAUGUUCCACUUUUCGAUUUAGACCCUGUAUACAUACAAAAGAGGGACAAGUUCUAUGUGGUACCAUUGACUAGUGGUACAUGCUAACUAAAACUAGAUGUAUGCCAUGCUUACUUAUUUUUUUACGCGUUACACAUACAUGCAACCAAUAUGACUGUAUUUAAAAUGAGAAGCAGAAUCAGAAAGUGCAAUAAAAAGUACGAUAGGAAGUUGGCACCAACUUUCAGAUCCGUCCGAAUUACGGUAUCACAAGCGCAUUCUGAUGCUUGACCCCCUUUGCUGAACCGUAAAUUGGUUGACCACAAAUACAGAAUCAAAAUAUACAAGACGAAGAGAGACAAAUGUAAACUAAAUACCGCAAUUUUCCUCCAGGAAAAUGCGCUAAAAAGUCAGUUCCCGAUUUCAGGUAAUAGGUCUAUCAGGGACUAGAACACAUAAUGUGAAAGAACAUAUUUUGUUAAUUGUAUCGGUUUAUACCUAGUCAUUCAGAAACGGUGGUCUCUGGUACAGUUUGGAAACGUGAUGCGUGAUUGUUUUUCUCAUUUCGUGGGAUAAAAUGCCGACUUCAUUGGAAACACCCUGCACAGUAUACUCUUACAUGAAACUAACUACUAAGUAAAACGAAUGAUUUAUAGAUUCUGUUAAUAAAUGCCAUAGUUUAAAAAUUGUUAAACAAGGUACCUAUUACAAAUAUUUAUUUCUUUGAACCUAAAUAGUAACUGUUCUAAAUGCACCCUUCUAUGUAUUGUAAAUGAUUAAUAAAUGAUGUUUAAAACU